CAGCCUUCACAUCCUCUUCAUCAUCAUCAUUAAGACAUCCCCCAGCACCAGCCUUCACAUCCCCCAGCACCAGCCUCAUCAUCAUCAUCAUCAUCAUCAUGAAGACAUCCCCCCAGCACCAGCCUUCACAUCCUCUUCAUCAUCAUCAUUAAGACAUCCCCCCAGCCUUCACAUCCUCUUCAUCAUCAUCAUCAUCAUUAAGACAUCCCCCAGCACCAGCCUUCACAUCCUCUUCAUCAUAACCAUUCAGACAUCCCCCCAGCACCAGUCUUCACAUCCUCUUCAUCAUCAUCAUUAAGACAUCCCCCCACCCAGACUUCACAUCCUCUUCAUCAUCAUCAUUAAGACACCCCCAGCACCAGCCUUCACAUCCUCUUCAUCAUCAUCAUCAUCAUCAAGACAUCCCCCCAGCACCAGCCUUCACAUCCUCUUCAUCAUCAUCAUUAAGACAUCCCCCACCCAGCACCAGCCUUCACAUCCUCUUCAUCAUCAUCAUUAUGACAUCCCCCAGCACCAGCUUUCACAUCCUCUUCAUCAUCAUCAUUAAGACACCCCCCCAGCACCAGCCUUCACAUCAUCAUCAUCAUUAAGACAUCCCCCCCAGCACCAGCCUUCACAUCCUCUUCAUCAUCAUGACGUGAUAUAAGGAGCUAUGACGUGUUAUAAGGAGAAGCUAUGAUGUGUUAUAAGGAGAAGCUAUGAUGUGUUAUAAGGACAAGCUAUGAUGUGUUAUAAGGAGGAGCUAUGAUGUGUUAUAAGGAGAAGCUAUGAUGUGUUAUAAGGAGAAGCUAUGAUGUGUUAUAAGGAGAAGCUAUGACGUGUUAUAAGCUAUGACGUGUUAUAAGGAGAAGCUAUGAUGUGUUAUUAGGAGCUAUGACGUGUUAUAAGGAGAAGCUAUGAUGUGUUAUUAGGAGGAGCUAUGAUGUGUUAUAAGGAGAAGCUAUGAUGUGUUAUAAGGAGAAGCUAUGAUGUGUUAUAAGGAGAAGCUAUGAUGUGUUAUAAUGAGAAGCUAUGACGUGUUAUAAGGAGAAGCUAUGAUGUGUUAUUAGGAGCUAUGGCGUGUUAUAAGGAGCUAUGAUGUGUUAUAAUGAGAAGCUAUGACGUGUUAUAAGGAGAAGCUAUGAUGUGUUAUAAGGAGCUAUGAUGUGUUAUAAUGAGAAGCUAUGACGUGUUAUAAGGAGCUAUGAUGUGUUAUAAGGAGCUAUGACGUGUUAUAAGAAGCUAUGACGUGUUAAGCUAUGAUAGGUUAUAACACAUGACGUGUUUUAAGAAGCUACGAUGUGUUAUAAGGAGCUAUGAUGUGUUAUAACCUGUGUUAUAAGAAGCUAUGAUGUGUUAUAAGGAGCUAUGAUGUGUUAUAAGAAGCUAUGAUGUGUUAUAAGAAGCUAUGAUGUGUUAUAACGUGUUAUAAGAAGCUGUGGUGUGUUAUAACGUGUUAUAAGGAGCUAUGACGUGUUAUAAGGAGCUAUGAUGUGUUAUAAGAAGCUAUGAUGUGUUAUAACGUGUUAUAAGAAGCUAUGAGGUGUUAUAAGAAGCUAUGACGUGUUAUAACGUGUUAUAAGAAGCUAUGACGUGUUAUAAGGAGCUAUGACGUGUUAUAAGAAGCUAUGACGUGUUAUAAGGAGCUAUGACGUGUUAAGCUAUGAUAGGUUAUAACACAUGACGUGUUUUAAGAAGCUACGAUGUGUUAUAAGGAGCUAUGAUGUGUUAUAAGAAGCUAUGAUGUGUUAUAAGAAGCUAUGAUGUGUUAUAACGUGUUAUAAGAAGCUAUGAUGCGUUAUAACGUGUUAUAAGGAGCUAUGACGUGUUAUAAGGAGCUAUGACGUGUUAUAAGGAGCUAUGAUGUGUUAUAAGAAGCUAUGAUGUGUUAUAACGUGUUAUAAGAAGCUAUGAGGUGUUAUAACGAGCUAUGAUGUGUUAUAACGUGUUAUAAGGAGCUAUGACGUGUUAUAAGGAGCUAUGAUGUGUUAUAACGAGCUAUGACGUGUUAUAACGUGUUAUAAGGAGCUAUGACGUGUUUUAAGGAGCUACGACGUGUUAUAAGAAGCUAUAAGCGUUCAUACACUGGUUCAUAUUCCAAUGCAUAUUUAAUAAACCAUCG
Molecule: long non-coding RNA, 2101 nt
Organism: Oncorhynchus tshawytscha (Chinook salmon)
Lineage: Eukaryota; Metazoa; Chordata; Actinopteri; Salmoniformes; Salmonidae
Source: Ensembl